RNAcentral lists this ribosomal RNA (468 nucleotides) under uncultured bacterium. RNAcentral's name for it is "partial 16S ribosomal RNA". It matches the Rfam family "Bacterial small subunit ribosomal RNA", at positions 28 to 507 of the family's 1533-position model. The record is from RNAcentral.
GACGAACGCUGGCGGCGUGCUUAACACAUGCAAGUCGAACGGAAAGGCCCUGCUUUUGUGGGGUGCUCGAGUGGCGAACGGGUGAGUAACACGUGAGUAACCUGCCCUUGACUUUGGGAUAACUUCAGGAAACUGGGGCUAAUACCGGAUAGGAGCUCCUGCUGCAUGGUGGGGGUUGGAAAGUUUCGGCGGUUGGGGAUGGACUCGCGGCUUAUCAGCUUGUUGGUGGGGUAGUGGCUUACCAAGGCUUUGACGGGUAGCCGGCCUGAGAGGGUGACCGGCCACGUGGGGACUGAGGAGCGGCCCGGCCUCCUACGGGGGGCAGCGGGGGGGAAUAUGGCAAAAGGGGCGGAAGCCUGAUGCAGCAACGCCGGGGGGGGGAUGGCGGCCUUCGGGUUGUAAACCGUUUUCGCCGGUGAAGAAGGGGGGGUGACGGUAAUGGGUAAAGAAGCCCCGGCUAACUACGGG